RNAcentral lists this ribosomal RNA (466 nucleotides) under uncultured bacterium. RNAcentral describes it as "partial 16S ribosomal RNA". It matches the Rfam family "Bacterial small subunit ribosomal RNA", at positions 28 to 507 of the family's 1533-position model. The record is from RNAcentral.
GACGAACGCUGGCGGCGCGCCUAACACAUGCAAGUCGAACGAGCGAGAGAGAGCUUGCUUUCUCGAGCGAGUGGCGAACGGGUGAGUAACGCGUGAGGAACCUGCCUCAAAGAGGGGGACAACAGUUGGAAACGACUGCUAAUACCGCAUAAGCCCACGGCUCGGCAUCGAGCAGGGGGAAAAGGAGCAAUCCGCUUUGAGAUGGCCUCGCGUCCGAUUAGCUAGUUGGUGGGGUAACGGCCCACCAAGGCGACGAUCGGUAGCCGGACUGAGAGGUUGAACGGCCACAUUGGGACUGAGACACGGCCCAGACUCCUACGGGAGGCAGCAGUGGGGAAUAUUGCACAAUGGGGGAAACCCUGAUGCAGCGACGCCGCGUGGAGGAAGAAGGUCUUCGGAUUGUAAACUCAUGUUGUUGGGGAAGAUAAUGACGGUACUCAACAAGGAAGUGACGGCUAACUACGUG